GACUAGUGUUGCAAAACUAAGCGGAUGAGCUGUGGAUAGGGGUGAAAGGCUAAACAAACUUGGAGAUAGCUGGUUCUCUCCGAAAACUAUUUAGGUAGUGCCUCAAGUAUUACCAUCGGGGUAGAGCACUGUUAUGGCUAGGGGGUCAUGGCGACUUACCAAACCAUUGCAAACUCCGAAUACCGAUGAGUACAGCUUGGGAGACAGUGCACCGGGUGCUAACGUCCGGACACAAGAGGGAAACAACCCAGACCGCCAGCUAAGGUCCCCAAAAAUUGGCUAAGUGGGAAACGAAGUGGGGAAGGCUAAAACAGUCAGGAUGUUGGCUUAGAAGCAGCCAUCAUUUAAAGAAAGCGUAAUAGCUCACUGAUCGAGUCGUCCUGCGCGGAAGAUGUAACGGGG
Molecule: ribosomal RNA, 402 nt
Filed under: uncultured bacterium
Lineage: Bacteria
Description: bacterial LSU rRNA
Rfam family: Bacterial large subunit ribosomal RNA
Source: RNAcentral